Molecule: ribosomal RNA, 380 nt
Filed under: uncultured eukaryote
Lineage: Eukaryota
Description: partial 18S ribosomal RNA
Rfam family: Eukaryotic small subunit ribosomal RNA
Source: RNAcentral
CAAUAGCGUAUAUUAAAGUUGUUGCGGUUAAAAAGCUCGUAGUUGGAUUUCUGCUGAGAACGACCGGUCCGCCCUCUGGGUGUGUAUCUGGCUCUUUCUUGGCAUCUUCUUGGUGAACGUUGCUGCACUUGACUGUGUGGAGCGCUACCCAGGACUUUUACUUUGAGGAAAUUAGAGUGUUUCAAGCAGGCAUACGCCUUGAAUACAUUAGCAUGGAAUAAUAAGAUAGGACCUCGGUUCUAUUUUGUUGGUUUCUAGAGCUGAGGUAAUGAUUAAUAGGGAUAGUUGGGGGCAUUCGUAUUUAACUGUCAGAGGUGAAAUUCUUGGAUUUGUGAAAGACGGACUACUGCGAAAGCAUUUGCCAAGGAUGUUUUCAUUGA